This 716-nucleotide long non-coding RNA is filed under the name Drosophila guanche. Lineage: Eukaryota; Metazoa; Arthropoda; Insecta; Diptera; Drosophilidae. The record is from RNAcentral.
CCACUCUACUUUAAAUAGGAUUUUAUUGGAAAAAACAUAUGUGUACAUAGUCGAGAGCCCACAAAAUCAGAGUUCAUUCCUCAUAUGUGAUUCUGUCAAUUAGGCAGUAUUUUGAUGGGGGUUCCUUUUUGGUUUCCCCCUUAAAUAUAACAGAUUUAAAUUUAAUUGAGACUAUUUUGGUGUAUGGCUGCAAGGCAAAAAUGUCACUCUGUCACACAAAAGAUAAAAAGAAAGUAGAUUUGGGGGAACUCUGACACCAAAAGCAAUUGCCAGAAGCGUUUAAAGAUAAUAUUUUCAUUGGCCAGACGACAGUCGAAGAAGUAACCAAACCUCUUGUGGAAGGAGUGCACCAUAUCGGUUACACUCAGAGUCUGUGUGGGUUCAGAGUUUGCUUAGCAGCCACACAGACACAGCAGCAUGAAGAGGUGGUGGAGCCCGAGCCCCAGGUCGGGGACCACAGUAAAGCCCAACGUUGCCAAAAUCUCAGUGUGCAUUGGCAAUCAGUGUUAAAUAAACGAGCAGGCCAAGUGCCAGAUACUGAUGCGAGUCCAUCGAGUCCACAGGAGAAUGCUGUCCAAGAGCCAGAUUUACUAGAGAGUCCAAGGGACAAGACCCCCAGACUGAGAGUUGACAACAUGCAAAAUGCAUCAGCAGUUGAAGAGUCUGAAUCCGAGUCCGAGGCCAUUGAUAAAACUUGCAGGAGAGGACGAGGACUA